RNAcentral lists this ribosomal RNA (492 nucleotides) under uncultured bacterium. Its description in RNAcentral is "partial 16S ribosomal RNA". It matches the Rfam family "Bacterial small subunit ribosomal RNA", at positions 29 to 507 of the family's 1533-position model. The record is from RNAcentral.
AGUGAACGCUGGCGGUAGGCCUAACACAUGCAAGUCGAACGGCAGCACAGUAAGAGCUUGCUCUUACGGGUGGCGAGUGGCGGACGGGUGAGGAAUACAUCGGAAUCUACUUUUUCGUGGGGGAUAACGUAGGGAAACUUACGCUAAUACCGCAUACGACCUACGGGUGAAAGCAGGGGAUCUUCGGACCUUGCGCGAUUGAAUGAGCCGAUGUCGGAUUAGCUAGUUGGCGGGGUAAAGGCCCACCAAGGCGACGAUCCGUAGCUGGUCUGAGAGGAUGAUCAGCAACACUGGAACUGAGACACGGACCAGACUCCUACGGGAGGGAGCAGUGGGGAAUAUUGGACAAUGGGCGCAAGCCUGAUCCAGCCAUACCGCGUGGGUGAAGAAGGCCUUCGGGUUGUAAAGCCCUUUUGUUGGGAAAGAAAAGCAGCAGGUUAAUACCCCGCUGUUCUGACGGUACCCAAAGAAUAAGCACCGGCUAACUUCGUG